GUUGUUCGGAAUUACUGGGCGUAAAGGGCGCGUAGGCGGUGCUCCAAGUCCGGUGUGAAAUCUCCGGGCUUAACUCGGAGGCUGCACCCGAAACUGUGGUGCUGGAGUGUGGGAGAGGUGCGUGGAAUUCCCGGUGUAGCGGUGAAAUGCGUAUAUCUCAGGAGGAACACCUGUGGCGAAGGCGGCGCACUGGACCAUGCCUGACGCUGAGGCGCGAAAGCUUGGGGAGCAAACAGGAUUAAAUACCCUGGUAGUCCACGCCCUAAACUAUGAUUGCUUGGUGU
This 284-nucleotide ribosomal RNA is filed under the name uncultured bacterium. RNAcentral's name for it is "partial 16S ribosomal RNA". It matches the Rfam family "Bacterial small subunit ribosomal RNA", at positions 540 to 823 of the family's 1533-position model. The record is from RNAcentral.